CUGGCGGCAUGCCUUACACAUGCAAGUCGAACGGUAACAGGUCUUCGGAUGCUGACAAGUGGCGAACGGGUGAGUAAUACAUCGGAACGUGCCCGAUCGUGGGGGAUAACGGAGCGAAAGCUUUGCUAAUACCGCAUACGAUCUACGGAUGAAAGCAGGGGACCGCAAGGCCUUGCGCUCAUGGAGCGGCCGAUGGCAGAUUAGGUAGUUGGUGGGAUAAAAGCUUACCAAGCCGACGAUCUGUAGCUGGUCUGAGAGGACGACCAGCCACACUGGGACUGAGACACGGCCCAGACUCCUACGGGAGGCAGCAGUGGGGAAUUUUGGACAAUGGGCGAAAGCCUGAUCCAGCCAUGCCGCGUGCAGGAUGAAGGCCUUCGGGUUGUAAACUGCUUUUGUACGGAACGAAAAGACUCCUUCUAAUAAAGGGGGUUCAUGACGGUACCGUAAGAAUAAGCACCGGCUAACUACGUGCCAGCAGCCGCGGUAAUACGUAGGGUGCAAGCGUUAAUCGGAAUUACUGGGCGUAAAGCGUGCGCAGGCGGUUAUAUAAGACAGAUGUGAAAUCCCCGGGCUCAACCUGGGAACUGCAUUUGUGACUGUAUAGCUAGAGUACGGCAGAGGGGGAUGGAAUUCCGCGUGUAGCAGUGAAAUGCGUAGAUAUGCGGAGGAACACCGAUGGCGAAGGCAAUCCCCUGGGCCUGUACUGACGCUCAUGCACGAAAGCGUGGGGAGCAAACA
Molecule: ribosomal RNA, 741 nt
Filed under: uncultured Acidovorax sp.
Lineage: Bacteria; Pseudomonadati; Pseudomonadota; Betaproteobacteria; Burkholderiales; Comamonadaceae
Description: bacterial SSU rRNA
Rfam family: Bacterial small subunit ribosomal RNA
Source: RNAcentral